AUUGAACGCUGGCGGCAGGCCUAACACAUGCAAGUCGAGCGAGAAAGCCCUUCGGGGUGAGUACAGCGGCGGACGGGUGAGUAACGCGUAGGAAUCUACCCAGUAGUGGGGGACAACAGUCGGAAACGGCUGCUAAUACCGCAUACGCCCUAUGGGGGAAAGCGGGGGACCUUCGGGCCUCGCGCUAUUGGAUGAGCCUGCGUCGGAUUAGCUAGUUGGUGGGGUAAAGGCCUACCAAGGCGACGAUCCGUAGCUGGUCUGAGAGGAUGAUCAGCCACACUGGGACUGAGACACGGCCCAGACUCCUACGGGAGGCAGCAGUGGGGAAUAUUGCGCAAUGGGGGCAACCCUGACGCAGCCAUGCCGCGUGUGUGAAGAAGGCCCUAGGGUUGUAAAGCACUUUCAAAAGCGAGGAAAAGCUGAUGCUUAAUACGUAUCAGCCGUGACGUUAACUUUAGAAGAAGCACCGGCUAACUCCGUGCCAGCCGCCGCAGUAACAC
This 500-nucleotide ribosomal RNA is filed under the name uncultured bacterium. RNAcentral describes it as "bacterial SSU rRNA". It matches the Rfam family "Bacterial small subunit ribosomal RNA", at positions 29 to 526 of the family's 1533-position model. The record is from RNAcentral.